Molecule: non-coding RNA, 80 nt
Organism: Phrynosoma platyrhinos (Desert horned lizard)
Lineage: Eukaryota; Metazoa; Chordata; Lepidosauria; Squamata; Phrynosomatidae
Source: the annotation of a GenBank genome assembly
GGCCUAGAUAUGAGAUGGUAUAGUGGUUUGGAUGUUUGACUAGGAACCUGGAGGCCAGAGUUCGAAUCCCUGCUUGGCCA